AAUCAACGCUGGCGGCGUGCCUAACACAUGCAAGUCGAACGAGAAGGGGACUUCGGUCCCUGAGUACAGUGGCGCACGGGUGAGUAACACGUGACUUAUCUACCCUCGAGUGGGGAAUAACUUCGGGAAACCGAGGCUAAUACCGCAUAAUACCCACGGGUCAAAGGAGCAAUUCGCUUGAGGAGGAGGUCGCGGCCGAUUAGUUAGUUGGCGGGGUAAUGGCCCCACCAAGACGGUGAUCGGUAUCCGGCCUGAGAGGGCGCGCGGACACACUGGAACUGAAACACGGUCCAGACUCCUACGGGAGGCAGCAGUGGGGAAUUUUGCGCAAUGGGGGAAACCCUGACGCAGCAACGCCGCGUGGAGGAUGAAGUCUCUUGGGACGUAAACUCCUUUCGAUCGGGACGAUUAUGACGGUACCGGAAGAAGAAGCCCCGGCUAACUUCGUG
RNAcentral lists this ribosomal RNA (449 nucleotides) under uncultured bacterium. RNAcentral describes it as "bacterial SSU rRNA". It matches the Rfam family "Bacterial small subunit ribosomal RNA", at positions 32 to 507 of the family's 1533-position model. The record is from RNAcentral.